UUUCCGAAUUUUAAAAUUAGUUUUUUAAACAACUGCGAAUUAAGUUUCGGAAAAUACCACAAUCCAAUUUUAAGGUGUUAGCAAGUCGUCCAGGCCGGAUUUGGAGCCGAAAUUUGCAGCGGAUGAGCCGUGAGGCGGUGCCCAUUUCAGAGGCUACGUGUUGUCGGAAAAUGUAAUCGUAGAGACAAUUUCGCACCAACAUCCGGAAAUGUCCAAUCGCCACGGAAAACCCGGGAAACUGCACCGAGCAGCUGCGGAAAUCUGCCACAAGCGGAACAUGAUAGAUGGUUUCCAAUAUGCCGCCUUGCGAAGUAACUGCCCAUGAUGCUGGAUGAUUCAACGCAGCUGUCUGAAAUGUGGCAGCUGUCUGAAAUUUGCAACAGGCAAUCCGGGAAGCAAAUUAAAUUUUUAAUAAUUUUUGUCGGCUACCUUAUAGUCAUAUUAUGCACCGAAUAGACUGCCGUUGGAAGCAUAAUUGUCACAUGUUACAAAAAGGCAAAGCGAGAAAAACGCAAUUAAAGUUUCACCAAAACAUUUUGCUGUUAUCGCACAGUUUCGCAACUUUUGUUGACUUCAAUGCCGUAGAUCUCUAAAGUAUAUUCCUUUCAUACGAGCCUCGAUCUAAUUUUUCAAAAAUGAACUGUUUUUUCAAUGAAAACCCUUGUGUGACA
Molecule: long non-coding RNA, 671 nt
Organism: Uranotaenia lowii
Lineage: Eukaryota; Metazoa; Arthropoda; Insecta; Diptera; Culicidae
Exons: 3
Source: RefSeq, a predicted model, not a curated record